UACGUAGGGUGCAAGCGUUAAUCGGAAUUACUGGGCGUAAAGCGUGCGCAGGCGGUUAUGCAAGACAGAGGUGAAAUCCCCGGGCUCAACCUGGGAACUGCCUUUGUGACUGCAUGGCUAGAGUACGGUAGAGGGGGAUGGAAUUCCGCGUGUAGCAGUGAAAUGCGUAGAUAUGCGGAGGAACACCGAUGGCGAAGGCAAUCCCCUGGACCUGUACUGACGCUCAUGCACGAAAGCGUGGGGAGCAAACAGGAU
This 255-nucleotide ribosomal RNA is filed under the name uncultured Burkholderiales bacterium. RNAcentral describes it as "partial 16S ribosomal RNA". It matches the Rfam family "Bacterial small subunit ribosomal RNA", at positions 524 to 778 of the family's 1533-position model. The record is from RNAcentral. Lineage: Bacteria; Pseudomonadati; Pseudomonadota; Betaproteobacteria; Burkholderiales.